Molecule: transfer RNA, 88 nt
Filed under: Colletotrichum cereale
Lineage: Eukaryota; Fungi; Ascomycota; Sordariomycetes; Glomerellales; Glomerellaceae
Description: tRNA-Glu
Rfam family: tRNA
About the family: Transfer RNA (tRNA) molecules are approximately 80 nucleotides in length.
Source: RNAcentral
UCCGAUAUGGUGUAGUGGCCAACAUGAUGCCCUCUCACGUCCUCUGAGAGGUUAGGCAUAGCCCCGAGUUCGAUUCUCGGUUUCGGAA